RNAcentral lists this ribosomal RNA (425 nucleotides) under uncultured bacterium. Its description in RNAcentral is "bacterial SSU rRNA". It matches the Rfam family "Bacterial small subunit ribosomal RNA", at positions 115 to 520 of the family's 1533-position model. The record is from RNAcentral.
GCUUCGGAAUCUGCCCAAUGGUGGGGAAUAACCAGCCGAAAGGUUGGGUAAUAUCCGCAUACGCACUACGGUGGAAAGCGGGGGAUCGUCAGACUCGCGCCGUUGAUGAGCCGAAUCGGAUUAGCUAGUUCGUAGGGUAAUCGUGUCGCUACAAGGCUGUACGAGUCCGUAGUCUGNGUCUGUGUAGGACGCACCAGCCACACUGGGACUGAGACACGGUCCCAAACUCCUAUACGGGAGGCAGCAGUGGGGAAUAUUGGACAAUGGGGGUAAACCCUGAUCCAGCGUACGCCGCUGUGAUGUGAUGAAGGCCUUCGGGUUGUAAACCACUGUCACCAGUUAAGAAAAGGUACGUCGUGAAUAACGGCGUACUUUGACAAAGGCUGGAGAGGAAGCCACGGCUAACUUCGUGCCAGCAGCCGCGG